This 401-nucleotide ribosomal RNA is filed under the name uncultured Prasiolales. RNAcentral's name for it is "partial small subunit ribosomal RNA". It matches the Rfam family "Eukaryotic small subunit ribosomal RNA", at positions 30 to 432 of the family's 1831-position model. The record is from RNAcentral. Lineage: Eukaryota; Viridiplantae; Chlorophyta; Trebouxiophyceae.
GCUUGUCUCAAAGAUUAAGCCAUGCAUGUCUAAGUAUAAACAAAUCUAUACUGUGAAACUGCGAAUGGCUCAUUAUAUCAGUUAUAGUUUAUUUGAUGGUCCCUUACUACAUGGAUAACCGUAGUAAUUCUAGAGCUAAUACAUGCACAAAGGCCCGACUCACGGAGGGCUGUAUUUAUUAGAUUUAAGGCCAACCGAGCUUGCUCGUCUCUUGGUGAAUCAUGAUAACUUCACGAAUCGCACGGCCUCGUGCCGGCGAUGAAUCAUUCAAAUUUCUGCCCUAUCAACUUUCGAUGGUAAGGUAUUGGCUUACCAUGGUUGCAACGGGUGACGGGGAAUUAGGGUUCGAUUCCGGAGAGGGAGCCUGAGAGAUGGCUACCACAUCCAAGGAAGGCAGCAGG